This is a long non-coding RNA of Grammomys surdaster, 454 nucleotides long. RefSeq lists it as uncharacterized. The transcript has 3 exons. The record is from RefSeq and is a predicted model, not a curated record. NCBI's taxonomy places the organism in Eukaryota, Metazoa, Chordata, Mammalia, Rodentia, Muridae.
GGUGGUGAUUCCAGCUCCAGGGUUGCUGUGGUCAACACUGGGUACUUGAGGAGAGGUUGUCUGUGGCAAGUGACGCUGAAUUGGUCCUUGGGAGCCAAUGUUCAGGAUCUCUGCCUACACUCCCUCCCAGCUGCUCAUCCUAGGUUGAGACAUCCCAUUGGGGGCUUCCAUGGGAGACCUAUGGCUAUUAACAAGCCCCAAGGCCUGACCUGAAGCCAUCAGUGGCCCAGUAGCUGCUCUGCCUGAGUUUGUUGCUUUUCCUCUCCCUGGAUCUCCUGCUUACGACUACCGACUACCAACAACAAAGAUGUCUGACCCCAGAAGAUACUCCCCACUGCCCACCUCAAAAGACUAUCCACAAGCCAGUGGGAUCCAAUACCCCCUCCCCCACCCCCAAUGCACCCUGUGCUAUCCACUGAGUCCCCAUAGCCCUACUUCUCACCCAUGCCUCAUG